UGGCUCCCUUCUCUCCGUCUGCCUCCUGGCCGCGGGGCCCGGAGAGCUGGGAGCCAG
Molecule: microRNA precursor, 57 nt
Filed under: Homo sapiens (human)
Lineage: Eukaryota; Metazoa; Chordata; Mammalia; Primates; Hominidae
Description: microRNA hsa-mir-10398 precursor
Source: miRBase by way of RNAcentral